RNAcentral lists this ribosomal RNA (216 nucleotides) under Glomeromycotina sp. Its description in RNAcentral is "partial small subunit ribosomal RNA". The stretch from base 40 to 216 matches the Rfam family "Eukaryotic small subunit ribosomal RNA", at positions 686 to 864 of the family's 1831-position model. Lineage: Eukaryota; Fungi; Glomeromycota. The record is from RNAcentral.
GGGUCAGUAGGGUGGUCGUGCCACCGGUACGUACUGGUCUCACUGAUUCCUCCUUCCUGAAGAACCGUAAUGCCAUUAAUUUGGUGUUGCGGGGAAACAGGACUGUUACUUUGAAAAAAUUACAGUGUUUAAAGCAAGCUAACGCUUGAAUACAACAGCAUGGAAUAAUGAAAUAGGACGAUCGAUCCUAUUUUGUUGGUUUCUAGGAUUGACGUA